UCCAUGCCGUCGCCGCCGCCGCCGCCUUCUCCUCUUCCCCGUCCCUCACGGCCGCCUCGCCCCCUCCGCCUUCAGCGCCUCCUCCUCCUCCCCUUCCUCUCCUCCUUCCCUGCCUCUGGAUCCAGACCACGUGAUGCGGACGAUGCAGCGCCAUGGAUUAGUCCUGCUGCAAGAGGUGGCUGGAGAAGAUGAGAGGGAGAGAGAGAAGGAAGGAGCGGAGGGAGAAAGAGAGAGGAAAGAGUAGCUGGAGGUGCGUCGGCCGGCGUGCGCGCUGGCAAGGUUGGGCGGGACCUGGCGGUUGGCGGCGGCUCGAUCCACUCCUAAUCGGGAGCCGAGCCUGCAUCUCCGCCACUUCGCCUUGUUUCUCUCUCCACCGCCACCUCUCCUCACCUCUCCUUCCAAUGUCGGCCGCCGCCGCCCUCCCCGUACCUCCCCCUCAUGGCUCCUCUCUUUAUCACCGGCGCCAUGGCUGUGCUCGGAGGAGGACCGCCGAUGCCAGGUUGACGAGGAUGAUGAGGUAACUGUUGGCGAGGGCAAAGCGAAGUCGUCAGAUCCGUCACCACCGCUAUUCUCCUACUCACCACCGCCGCUGUUCUCCUACUCGCCGCCUCCGUCGUCCACAUGCUCCUCCUCACGACCAUGAAAAUUGGCUGAGGUCUAGCCUCCCAUCCAUACGCAGUUUUUCAGAUUAUGCAAGUAUAUGCUUGGUCUGCAUAUUAGUACCGGCUAGCAAGCACAGGAACGACGACUUGGAUCUAAUGACUUGAUAUUCCAAUCCACCGAGAAAUCAGUUUUGACUCAAAAUGAUGGUAAGGUGUCACCAAAAGUGCUUUCUAUUCUUCCCAUGCACCACACCGUACCAACAAAGGCAAAAUUUGUUUGUGUGAAAGCAUCUGAACCAUUGGCUUAUUUGUUUCUCUGGUGAAUAAAUUGUGUCUGAAUGCAGCAUGCCUGAACCAUGAGCAUUAUUUGUUUGUCCGCUAAGCAAAUUGUGUCUGGAUGCAGAAAGUGAAAGCAUCAGAUUGAGUGAUUCUUAUCAAUUCUUGCGUUGUAUGCCUGUGAGAGAGCUGGCAGGACGAACAAGGAAUUUUACAAAACGGUGCUCAGUGAGCUGGGCUCUCCUUCCACCAAUAUGAAUGCCUAGCCUCAAACUUGCCUUACUUUUUUUGGAAUUGCUCUUUUUAUCUGUUGGAUCAUUCUUUUGUUUGUAAGAAAUUUCUGCAUUUUAGUGUAACCUAAAUCUGCUCAUUCCAGUAUUUGUUGAUAUCAGUAGUGGAAUGUUGUCCUUUCCUCUCUCUCUCUUUCUCUCUCUCUCUCUCAUUAUUUCAGGUCAUUAGAUUCAUGCAUUACAGUUAACUGUUUUUAGUGGUGUCAUGGUUAUAUUGGGAAAAGGUGAAACUUUGCUUUCCUUUGGAAGUUUAGUUACAACAGGAGCGUGCAUUCUAUAUAUUAAAAAGUUUAAACACCCACCACUACAAUAUCUUCAUAAGAAUCUUUUUUCUACAGUUAGCACAAAGAAGAUGCUUCUGGCCUACUACAUGAACUCGUUCUUGCCGACUUUAUCCUCUGUUUAUUUGCUCCGCGAGGUUGUUUGUUGGUUCGUGGGACGUCUGUGUCGUUAACCAACAAGGUUUCCGAUUUCCUUUUGUUCUACAGGCGUUGUUAUCAUUACUUCCUCUCCCCUCGCUGGCUCAUCAUCUGCUUGCUAUCAAGCAGGAUUGAUUUUCAGAUAAUAUAGGAGUGGAUGGUUCUAUUCUUCGGUUUUGAAUGGCAUAACAUAAGGAGAGUAGCCUAUUGUAAAUUUCGCAUACUGAUCCAGAGUCAUCAAUCCUUUCGGAGGUGAUUCCGUCGCAAUCUUGGUUAAGUGUGUUCACUUUGCAGCAAUGUCAGCAUGGGAUCACAAUCACUUGAUCGAACAUAUAAAUCCAGCUAGAGUACCCGCCAUUCCAGCGCCCUUCCCGUCUCAAAUUCAUCCUGCCCGCUCGAUUCGCCUCGCUGGCCCUGGUAAAAGUACUUUUCAUCGACCUGGUAAAGAUCCAGUUGCUCAUUAUUUUGUAUGCCGCGUAAUGGGGCUAGGAGCAACUGAUGAGUGGGCCAGGCUUGCGCGCGGGCGUGCUUCUGUCGAUGAAAAGCAGGGCCGGAUCGCUCGUGUGCUGCGGCCAAUCGAUCGUGGGGUUGUUAGGGCGUUUUUUACCGUGUUCGUUUGCACCCAGUGGUGGCGCCUCCGCUUCAACCGCGUCUGGCCCCAUCUGUCAGUCUCGUGGGUGCGUGGCAGUUUGGUCGUCCUUGGUCAUGUGAGCACCUCCGCUCGGUCCGCUGGGUAAAACAGGGUUUUCGGCCUCUACGUGCUGCUAAGCGGGAUUGCUUGGCCUCGUCUCGCUGCAGGUGGUCCCUUUCUAUCCUUGGUCCCAUGCAUCGGGUGAGUUGUGUUUCUCUUUAGGUUUCCCUAGAAGUUACAGCGCCUGCGAGAGGUGUUUCUGACCGGGUGCGUGGUUUCCUUCUGCUCUGCUCUGCCUAUGUGCCUCGCCUCUCUGCCCACUUCCCCUCGCCUGCGCCUCCUUGUCUUCUCUCAUCCAGUCGCCAUUGUCGCUUGUCGUAGUUGGUCAUUGAUAACUAGCGGCUUGCUCGUUGCCUGCUUAUCCUGUCGUCGGCUUGUUUCGUCAUGGCUCCUCGCGCUGCUGCUGUUGCGUUUGGCUAGGGGCUGCUGCGUCUGCUUUGUUGUCUGCCUGCGCGUUUGCUUGUUCUUUCUUUGUGAGGUCUUCCUCUGCGAUGUCUGGCUGCCUGAUCGGCUAAUUUUGUCACUCCCAGUUUGCCAAGUUUCUGCUGUGGUUCAGUUCACGUGACGCCUUGCACCCUGCCUUUCUUCUUGCCAAGAUGACAGCAGUUAAACAAGAAGAAGCAGACACAACCAGUGAUAUCAGCGGUAGACAAAUUACCCAUGCCGAACCACUGUGUCGCAAGCACAAUAAGCCAUUCGAGUAUAUUCAUCGCCCACGCAAAGCAGGUUCAAUCCAAAAGUUCAAAGGCAAGAAAAUCCAACUAAAGCCUGGAAAGUACAUUCUCCGUGGUGAGCCUUGCAUCCACUACUUACAUGAGUUUAGUCGCCACAUUGUGGGCGCAACAUAGUUAAGCUCUACAACCAUAAUGUUUGUAGACUGUGAAAGAUCAUCCGCAGCACCACCAGAGACAUUUGCAACAAACGACAAAAGAAUGACGGGACUACCGCUGUCACAACCGCUUUAUCAAGGGUGUUUGACAAAAGAGCCACCAUUGGCUGGAGAACUUCUUCCCUCAGGCACACAUGAGCAAAGGGCAAGCAUAUGCUUUCGCCUUCAAAUGCACUUCCAAGGGACUGCGCCUGAUCGUCUACUCAAUAUAAGCAAGUUGCAAGAGCCGCUUGUUAUAUAACUUAAUGUUAGUAUAAAUGCCUACCAAGACUUUGUGUUUAUCAUCCUUUUAGAUCUUAUGUAAUCCCUUAAGACCAUCCUGCAUGUUUAACUAUCGGCUAUUUCUUGCUUAGACUGUUGUGUUGUAUGCUUUUAAAACAGCAAUGAUAAAAGAAAUAUAUGCUCACUCUCCCAAUACUUGACU
This is a long non-coding RNA of Triticum dicoccoides, 3591 nucleotides long. RefSeq lists it as uncharacterized. The transcript is spliced from 12 exons. The record is from RefSeq and is a predicted model, not a curated record. NCBI's taxonomy places the organism in Eukaryota, Viridiplantae, Streptophyta, Magnoliopsida, Poales, Poaceae.